GCGGCGGACGGGUGAGUAACGCGUGGGUAACCUACCCCAAAGCCCGGGAUAACAGCGGGAAACCGCUGCUAAUACCGGAUGACUUUACCUUGGGGCAUCUUGAGGUAAAGAAAGGUUAACGCUUUGGGAUGGGCCCGCGUCCCAUUAGCUAGUUGGUGAGGUAACGGCUCACCAAGGCGACGAUGGGUAGCCGGCCUGAGAGGGUGGACGGCCACACUGGGACUGAGACACGGCCCAGACUCCUACGGGAGGCAGCAGUAGGGAAUAUUGCGCAAUGGACGGAAGUCUGACGCAGCGACGCCGCGUGAGCGAUGAAGGCCUUCGGGUCGUAAAGCUCUGUCCUUGGGGAAGAAGGUCUUCGGACUUGACGGUACCCAAGAAGAAAGCCCCGGCUAACUACGUGCCAGCAGCCGCGGUAAUACGUAGGGGGCGAGCGUUGUCCGGAAUUACUGGGCGUAAAGGGUGCGUAGGCGGCCCUUUAAGUCAGAUGUGAAAGCCCGCG
This 502-nucleotide ribosomal RNA is filed under the name uncultured bacterium. RNAcentral describes it as "bacterial SSU rRNA". It matches the Rfam family "Bacterial small subunit ribosomal RNA", at positions 95 to 606 of the family's 1533-position model. The record is from RNAcentral.